GAUGAACGCUGGCGGCGUGCCUAAUACAUGCAAGUCGAGCGAACAGACGAGGAGCUUGCUCCUCUGACGUUAGCGGCGGACGGGUGAGUAACACGUGGAUAACCUACCUAUAAGACUGGGAUAACUUCGGGAAACCGGAGCUAAUACCGGAUAACAUGUUGAACCGCAUGGUUCAACAGUGAAAGACGGUCUUGCUGUCACUUAUAGAUGGAUCCGCGCCGCAUUAGCUAGUUGGUAAGGUAACGGCUUACCAAGGCAACGAUGCGUAGCCGACCUGAGAGGGUGAUCGGCCACAUUGGAACUGAGACACGGUCCAGACUCCUACGGGAGGCAGUAGUAGGGAAUCUUCCGCAAUGGGCGAAAGCCUGACGGAGCAACGCCGCGUGAGUGAAGAAGGUCUUCGGAUCGUAAAACUCUGUUAUUAGGGAAGAACAAAUGUGUAAGUAACUAUGCACGUCUUGACGGUACCUAAUCAGAAAGCCACGGCUAACUACGUG
RNAcentral lists this ribosomal RNA (497 nucleotides) under uncultured bacterium. RNAcentral's name for it is "partial 16S ribosomal RNA". It matches the Rfam family "Bacterial small subunit ribosomal RNA", at positions 28 to 507 of the family's 1533-position model. The record is from RNAcentral.